Molecule: ribosomal RNA, 392 nt
Filed under: uncultured bacterium
Lineage: Bacteria
Description: partial 16S ribosomal RNA
Rfam family: Bacterial small subunit ribosomal RNA
Source: RNAcentral
AUACGGAGGAUCCGAGCGUUAUCCGGAUUUAUUGGGUUUAAAGGGUGCGCAGGCGGGAGAUUAAGUCGGCGGUGAAAUUUUGCAGCUCAACUGUAAAAGUGCCUUCGAAACUGGUUUCCUUGAGUGUAGAUGAAGUAGGCGGAAUUUGUGGUGUAGCGGUGAAAUGCAUAGAUAUCACGAGGAACUCCGAUUGCGCAGGCAGCUUACUAAACUACUACUGACGCUCAGGCACGAAGGCGUGGGGAUCAAACAGGAUUAGAUACCCUGGUAGUCCACGCAGUAAACGAUGAUUACUAGCUGUUUGCGAUACAAUGUAAGCGGCUGAGCGAAAGCGUUAAGUAAUCCACCUGGGGAGUACGUUGCAAGAAUGAAACUCAAAUGAAUUGACGGGG